Molecule: long non-coding RNA, 406 nt
Filed under: Gossypium raimondii (Peruvian cotton)
Lineage: Eukaryota; Viridiplantae; Streptophyta; Magnoliopsida; Malvales; Malvaceae
Description: long non-coding RNA (GRAI_LNC007645)
Source: RNAcentral
UCCCCCAUACUUAAGCCAUUGAUCGUCCCUGAGCAAUCAAAAAAAAUCAAGAAGAAUUUCAGAAAUAUCAAGACUAAUAAAGAGUUGUUGCAUCGCUCAUGCUUGGGAUGAAUUCCGAAAUCAUCAGUCAAGAUUUUGGUUUAUUCAAGAGAGGAAAAUAUAAAGGAAACUAAUCACGCGUCUUUGAUCAAUUCUCACCUGAAAAGAAUAGAAUUGUUAACACUCUUCACUCAUUGUGUUUAGGCUAGUAUAAUGCUCUCAAAUUGAAAUCAACCGUAAUUAACCCCAUAGGCUUGCUUGUCCAUCUUACCUUAACAUAAAACAUAAAAUUUCAUAAAUAUAAUCGAGACCAAAUUAUGGUUGUAAUGGGGCUGAGGUAAUGUGCAGUGGACGGGAGGAAUUUAUU